GUGGGGAAUUUUGGACAAUGGGCGAAAGCCUGAUCCAGCCAUGCCGCGUGCAGGAUGAAGGCCUUCGGGUUGUAAACUGCUUUUGUACGGAACGAAAAGACUCUGGUUAAUACCUGGGGUCCAUGACGGUACCGUAAGAAUAAGCACCGGCUAACUACGUGCCAGCAGCCGCGGUAAUACGUAGGGUGCAAGCGUUAAUCGGAAUUACUGGGCGUAAAGCGUGCGCAGGCGGUUAUAUAAGACAGAUGUGAAAUCCCCGGGCUCAACCUGGGAACUGCAUUUGUGACUGUAUAGCUAUAGUACGGCAGAGGGGGAUGGAAUUCCGCGUGUAGCAGUGAAAUGCGUAGAUAUGCGGAGGAACACCGAUGGCGAAGGCAAUCCCCUGGGCCUGUACUGACGCUCAUGCACGAAAGCGUGGGGAGCAAACAGGAUUAGAAACCCCUGUAGUCC
This 450-nucleotide ribosomal RNA is filed under the name uncultured bacterium. Its description in RNAcentral is "partial 16S ribosomal RNA". It matches the Rfam family "Bacterial small subunit ribosomal RNA", at positions 354 to 796 of the family's 1533-position model. The record is from RNAcentral.